GCCUGCAUGGUGUAGUGGUUUGAGCACUAGACUAUAACUCUGGAGAUCAGGGAUCAAAUCCCUCAGUCA
Molecule: non-coding RNA, 69 nt
Organism: Phrynosoma platyrhinos (Desert horned lizard)
Lineage: Eukaryota; Metazoa; Chordata; Lepidosauria; Squamata; Phrynosomatidae
Source: the annotation of a GenBank genome assembly